RNAcentral lists this ribosomal RNA (484 nucleotides) under uncultured bacterium. RNAcentral's name for it is "partial 16S ribosomal RNA". It matches the Rfam family "Bacterial small subunit ribosomal RNA", at positions 30 to 507 of the family's 1533-position model. The record is from RNAcentral.
AUUGAACGCUGGCGGCAGGCCUAACACAUGCAAGUCGAGCGGAUUAAGGGAGCUUGCUCCUGGAUUCAGCGGCGGACGGGUGAGUAAUGCCUAGGAAUCUGCCUGGUAGUGGGGGAUAACGUCCGGAAACGGGCGCUAAUACCGCAUACGUCCUGAGGUAGAAAGUGGGGGAUCUUCGGACCUCACGCUAUCAGAUGAGCCUAGGUCGGAUUAGCUAGUUGGUGGGGUAAAGGCCUACCAAGGCGACGAUCCGUAACUGGUCUGAGAGGAUGAUCAGUCACACUGGAACUGAGACACGGUCCAGACUCCUACGGGAGGCAGCAGUGGGGAAUAUUGGACAAUGGGCGAAAGCCUGAUCCAGCCAUGCCGCGUGUGUGAAGAAGGUCUUCGGAUUGUAAAGCACUUUAAGUUGGGAGGAAGGGCAGUAAGUUAAUACCUUGCUGUUUUGACGUUACCAACAGAAUAAGCACCGGCUAACUUCGUG